UACAGAGGUCUCAAGCGUUGUUCGGAUUCAUUGGGCGUAAAGGGUGCGUAGGCGGCUUUGCAAGUCGGGUGUGAAAUCCCCAGGCUCAACCUGGGAACUGCGUCUGAUACUGGAUGGCUUGAAUCCGGGAGAGGGAUGCAGAAUUCCAGGUGUAGCGGUGAAAUGCGUAGAUAUCUGGAGGAAUACCGGUGGCGAAGGCGGCAUCCUGGACCGGCAUUGACGCUGAGGAGCGAAAGCCAGGGGAGCAAACGGG
RNAcentral lists this ribosomal RNA (253 nucleotides) under uncultured bacterium. Its description in RNAcentral is "partial 16S ribosomal RNA". It matches the Rfam family "Bacterial small subunit ribosomal RNA", at positions 524 to 776 of the family's 1533-position model. The record is from RNAcentral.